AUGGGGGGCGCUGAGUCUGAAGGCAGAGCUGGGUUAAAAUCCGCAUCUCUAGCUCCCUGGGCAUGUGAGCCUUGCUCUCCCUUCUGUGGCCUCUGCUCUGCCCCAGGAGGACAGCCUGUAGGAAGAGGGAAUGGCUUCUGCCCUGACAGCCAGGCCCGGGAAGCUCUCCCUUCUGUGGUCUCUGCUCUGCCCCAGGAGGACAGCCUGGAGGAAGAAGGAAUGGCUCCUGCCCUGACAGCCAGGCCCCGGGAAGGAAUGUGCGAGAAUUCAAAGUCACUAGCCCAGGCUUUGCAGAAUCUACCCUCUCUUCAGAGACACACAAUAGUGGCUAAGCAAUGAAGCACAUUAUACACUCCUAUCAGAACAGCUGGAUCCUGACUUUUACUUCUGGCAUCCACUUCGCGUUCACACUUUCUGGGCUCUCAUUCCUACUUCAAAGUUCAUCACUGUUCAAUGAGAAAACAAAAGCCAAGGAAGAUUUUAGUUGUUUAGCUUUCUCACAGGUAUCCCUUUGUCAUCACCAUCACACUAUCAAUGCUGAAAUAUGGUCUUCACUAUUUUUUGAUCUUGCCUCCAAGCUAGAUUUUUAAAAUCUUUUGGUAACUUUUAUCACAAGAAUAAUUUGUUUCAGGCUUUGUUGUCUCCCACUACUCUUUUCUAAACUGCUCUAUUUCUUUUUUAUUCAUCCUGAAUUAAUGGCAAUUUAAGAUAUUUUUAUCAUCAUGAUUAGUUAUGCUUCAAGUCAAUCAGCCAUUAAAAAUUACAGCUGAAUACAAUGAUCCAAGAUAACUCUGAAGGACUCAUGAUGAACCCUACAGCCUCCAACUGUGAACCAGGAAGAGAUCCUGAAGCCCAGGUGGUAGAGCAGGCAAACACCAACACCUGGACCUCCAGUGCCUCAGUGG
RNAcentral lists this long non-coding RNA (905 nucleotides) under Phascolarctos cinereus (koala). RNAcentral's name for it is "lncRNA (ENSPCIG00000030617.1)". The record is from RNAcentral. Lineage: Eukaryota; Metazoa; Chordata; Mammalia; Diprotodontia; Phascolarctidae.